Molecule: long non-coding RNA, 393 nt
Organism: Selaginella moellendorffii
Lineage: Eukaryota; Viridiplantae; Streptophyta; Lycopodiopsida; Selaginellales; Selaginellaceae
Exons: 2
Source: RefSeq, a predicted model, not a curated record
CUCGACUAUACGCCAUCGGACCCGGACCUCCUGAAAAGAGUUUGGAAUGACAAACGAGCGAAGGAUGCGGCUUGAUAUAUAACACCGGAGGAUGUAAGAACAUGUCAAUAUGUCGGCUUUGGAACCUUCUCUACUACAAACGCGUGUGGGUCUCACUCUGUGGGCCGGCUGGACGACCUUUUGCUACUACUGCUUUAAAAUACUAGGAGAUAUCCGUUUUUACCAAGAGAGACUAGACUGAUGUCCGAGAGUUUUAGCACGAUCAAGACUUUGACGUGCUGGCGAUUGUUUGGAGGAGUUUGAAGAUGAUAUCACAGCUUGGAAGAAUAAGAUGAUAUCACGGUGUUCCGUUUGAUAACAGAUAUUUUAACAAUGGAAAGUCCAAUUCUUCUA